This 490-nucleotide ribosomal RNA is filed under the name uncultured bacterium. RNAcentral's name for it is "partial 16S ribosomal RNA". It matches the Rfam family "Bacterial small subunit ribosomal RNA", at positions 30 to 507 of the family's 1533-position model. The record is from RNAcentral.
AUUGAACGCUGGCGGCAGGCCUAACACAUGCAAGUCGAACGGUAACAGGAAACAGCUUGCUGUUUCGCUGACGAGUGGCGGACGGGUGAGUAAUGUCUGGGAAACUGCCUGAUGGAGGGGGAUAACUACUGGAAACGGUAGCUAAUACCGCAUAACGUCGCAAGACCAAAGAGGGGGACCUUCGGGCCUCUUGCCAUCGGAUGUGCCCAGAUGGGAUUAGCUAGUAGGUGGGGUAACGGCUCACCUAGGCGACGAUCCCUAGCUGGUCUGAGAGGAUGACCAGCCACACUGGAACUGAGACACGGUCUAGACUCCUACGGGAGGCAGCAGUGGGGAAUAUUGCACAAUGGGCGCAAGCCUGAUGCAGCCAUGCCGCGUGUAUGAAGAAGGCCUUCGGGUUGUAAAGUACUUUCAGCGGGGAGGAAGGGAGUAAAGUUAAUACCUUUACUCAUUGACGUUACCCGCAGAAGAAGCACCGGCUAACUCCGUG